GUCACGAGUAGUACGUUAGAAAGAGAUGGACAUAUGGUAGAAAAUGUCAAAAUCAUAUGUUUAUUGUUUACUGUUCAGCUACUGUGUUUUCAAUCGAUAUUUCAUUCUCGUCACAAACAAUUUAGCAGAAAUCUAGGUUUUUAGAAUCGACUGCUACAUGCUAAUAAAGCGAAAGUGAUUUAUUUUUGGAAAUAAUAGACCAAUAAAGGAGUUUCUUUGUUAUUUCAUGUAUGUACAUAUAGGACAUGAUUUACAAAGAUUUACAAGGAAUAUACCUAGUCUACUUUCUAUAUUUCAUAAGGCCACAGCAAGAAUUUGUAGAGGUGACUUGAAUUUCGAGAUAGCAUGUCCGAAGAAAAUACUUAACUCUAAUCUGGAUUCAAUAUUAGGAAGAGAAAAGAUGUAAAUCAUUCAGUAAGCCCUGUGACAUCGGCAAACUAAAAACUCAAUAUUUUCUGUUGAUCAGUGUCACAGAAAUCUAACACUGGAAAGCCACACGAUAAAGAAACAGGAGCAGUAAAAUACUACUGCCAGGAGUGCCAGAGAAGAGCAACUAAACCACCUGAUGGAGAACCUUUCAAAAUAAUUGAAAAAAAAAUUGUGAAUGAUUAAUCAUCAUAUAAAUAUUUCCCCGGCAGUAAAUUUCAUAUUAUUUGUGAAAGUAUCAAUAAACAUACUCAAAAGUA
Long non-coding RNA from Coccinella septempunctata (seven-spotted ladybird), 686 nucleotides. RefSeq lists it as uncharacterized. Lineage: Eukaryota; Metazoa; Arthropoda; Insecta; Coleoptera; Coccinellidae. The record is from RefSeq and is a predicted model, not a curated record. The transcript has 2 exons.